Molecule: ribosomal RNA, 301 nt
Filed under: uncultured bacterium
Lineage: Bacteria
Description: partial 16S ribosomal RNA
Rfam family: Bacterial small subunit ribosomal RNA
Source: RNAcentral
CAGUAGCCGCGGUAAUACGUAGGUGGCAAGCGUUAUCCGGAAUUAUUGGGCGUAAAGCGCGCGUAGGCGGUUUCUUAAGUCUGAUGUGAAAGCCCACGGCUCAACCGUGGAGGGUCAUUGGAAACUGGGAAACUUGAGUGCAGAAGAGGAAAGUGGAAUUCCAUGUGUAGCGGUGAAAUGCGCAGAGAUAUGGAGGAACACCAGUGGCGAAGGCGACUUUCUGGUCUGUAACUGACGCUGAUGUGCGAAAGCGUGGGGAUCAAACAGGAUUAGAGACCCCUGUAGUCCCUGUCUCUUAUAC